CAGAAAUCCCAGGGGGGCUGGUGUUACCAGCUGAGAGUAAAAAUAUUAAUUUUUAGACCCUAUAACCUGAUCUGGAUAAUACCAGCGUAGGAAGAGGCUUUAUAUAAUUAA
RNAcentral lists this non-coding RNA (111 nucleotides) under Clostridium carboxidivorans. Its description in RNAcentral is "TPP sequence". It matches the Rfam family "TPP riboswitch aptamer (THI element)". From Rfam's summary of the family: Vitamin B(1) in its active form thiamin pyrophosphate (TPP) is an essential coenzyme that is synthesised by coupling of pyrimidine and thiazole moieties in bacteria. The previously detected thiamin-regulatory element, thi box was extended, resulting in a new, highly conserved RNA secondary structure, the THI element, which is widely distributed in eubacteria and also occurs in some archaea. Lineage: Bacteria; Bacillati; Bacillota; Clostridia; Eubacteriales; Clostridiaceae. The record is from RNAcentral. RNAcentral also lists the same sequence under 1 other name.